CCUACGGGAGGCAGCAGUAGGGAAUAUUGCUCAAUGGGGGAAACUCUGAAGCAGCGACGCCGCGUGGAGGAUGAAGGUUUUCGGAUUGUAAAAUCCUUUUGUUAGAGAAGAUAAUGACGGUAUCUAACGAAUAAGCACCGGCUAACUUCGUGACAGCAGCCGCGGUAAUAUGGAGGGAGCAAGCGUUACUCGGAAUAACUGGGCGUAAUGAGCGCGUAGGCGGGAUAGCAAGUCAGAUGUGAAAUCCUAGGGCUUAACCAUAGAACUGCCUUUGAAACUGGUAUUCUAGAGUAUGGGAGAGGUAGGUGGAAUUCUUGGUGUAGGGGUAAAAUCCGUAGAGAUCAAGAGGAAUACUCAUUGCGAAGGCGACCUGCUAGAACAUAACUGACGCUGAUGCGCGAAAGCGUGGGUAGCAAACAGGAUUAGAUACCCUAGUAGUC
Molecule: ribosomal RNA, 440 nt
Filed under: uncultured bacterium
Lineage: Bacteria
Description: partial 16S ribosomal RNA
Rfam family: Bacterial small subunit ribosomal RNA
Source: RNAcentral